UACAGAGGUCCCAAGCGUUGUUCGGAUUCAUUGGGCGUAAAGGGUGCGUAGGCGGCGCGGUAAGUCGGGUGUGAAAUCUCGGAGCUUAACUCCGAAACUGCAUUCGAUACUGCCGUGCUUGAGGACUGGAGAGGAGACUGGAAUUUACGGUGUAGCGGUGAAAUGCGUAGAUAUCGUAAGGAAGACCGGUGGCGAAGGCGGGUCUCUGGGCAGUAACUGACGCUGAGACACGAAAGCGUGGGUAGCAAACAGG
RNAcentral lists this ribosomal RNA (253 nucleotides) under uncultured bacterium. Its description in RNAcentral is "partial 16S ribosomal RNA". It matches the Rfam family "Bacterial small subunit ribosomal RNA", at positions 524 to 776 of the family's 1533-position model. The record is from RNAcentral.